GUAGUCCACGCCGUAAACGAUGAACACUAGUUAUUGGGGGUAUUGACUCCCUCAGUGACGCAGCUAACGCAUUAAGUGUUCCGCCUGGGGAGUACGGCCGCAAGGCUAAAACUCAAAACAAUUGACGGGGGCCCGCACAAGCGGUGGAUUAUGUGGUUUAAUUCGAAGCAACGCGCAGAACCUUACCUAGGCUUGAACUCCUCAGAAUUCGACGUAAUGGUUGAAGUGCCCGCAAGGGAAUUGAGUGAGAGGUGCUGCAUGGCUGUCGUCAGCUCGUGUUGUGAAAUGUUGGGUUAAGUCUCGCAACGAGCGCAACCCCUAUCGUCUGUUGCCAGCAUUAAGUUGGGCACUCUGGCGAGACUGCCUGGGUUAACCAGGA
Molecule: ribosomal RNA, 379 nt
Filed under: uncultured bacterium
Lineage: Bacteria
Description: bacterial SSU rRNA
Rfam family: Bacterial small subunit ribosomal RNA
Source: RNAcentral